This 522-nucleotide ribosomal RNA is filed under the name Triticum aestivum (bread wheat). RNAcentral describes it as "partial small subunit ribosomal RNA". Lineage: Eukaryota; Viridiplantae; Streptophyta; Magnoliopsida; Poales; Poaceae. The record is from RNAcentral.
AUGCCGUUUGGGCUGACGAACGCACCAGCCACGUUCCAAUGCCUCAUGAAUGCAAUCUUCGCCAAGUACGUGCGUAAAUUCAUGAUCAUAUUUUUGGAUGACAUCUUGAUCUUCAGUGAAACCCUGGAGGAGCACCUGGAGCAUCUUCGCCUUGUCCUCGCUUUGCUUCGCGAGCACCAGCUGUACGCCAAGGAGUCCAAGUGCUCGUUUGCUCAAGACAACAUCUCCUACCUAGGCCACAUCAUCUCCAAGGACGACGUCGCCACGGACCCGGAGAAGACACAAGCUAUGGUGGCAUGGCCGACCCCUGCAACUGCCACUGAGCUCCGCGGCUUCCUCGGCCUCACCGGCUACUAUCGCAAGUUCAUCGAGCACUACGGUAUCAUUGCCAAGCCGCUCACGAGCUUGCUAACCAAGAAGGGCUUCGAGUGGACCGAGAGGGCGCAAGUGGCAUUUGACCUCCUCAAGCACGCCAUGGUGACCGCGCCGGUGCUCGCGCUCCCAGAUUUCGCACGACCGUUC